UAACGCUUUACUUUUAUUUUGUAGUCUCCGGUGAAGCGACCGGCGACAGAGGAGUCAGUACUCGCUCCCGCCGAUGCAGUCGCUGCUCAAAGCUCGCAAGUCAUUUUGCUCCUUCAAUCGCCUCCGCUUCUCAUCAACUGUCGUAAAAUCGGAACCUGCAACUGGAGGAACCUCUACUUUCAUCCAUCCAACUGCUGUCGUACAUCCGGAUGCUGUAAUCGGCGAGCAGGAUGGGUAUAUUGGUCCAUUCUGUACUGUGGGAGCCUUUGCAAAGCUUGGAAGUGGUUGUCAGUUGCAUCCAGGGAGCCAUGUUUUCGGCUGUACAGAACUUGGGGAUCAAUGUGUCUUGAUGACUGGCGCUAUAGUUGGUGAGGAUCUUCCUGGUCGGACAGUCAUUGGGUGUAAUAACAAAAUAGGUCACCAUGCAGUGGUUGGCAUUAGAUGCCAAGACAUGAAAUACAAGCCAGGGGUUGAAUGUUUCCUUGAUGUUGGAGAUAACAAUGACAUAAGAGAACAUUCAUCAAUCCACCGAUCUUCAAAGUCAAGUGACGUGACAGUCAUUGGUGAUAACAAUCUCAUAAUGGGAUCCUGUCACAUUGCUCAUGACUGCAAGAUUGGUAACAACAAUAUUUUUGCAAAUAAUACUCUUCUAGCCGGACAUGUUGAGGUGGAGGACUAUGUUCACACAUCAGGAGCCACUGCAGUUCAUCAGUUUUGCCAUGUUGGCUCUUUCUCGUUCGUCGCUGGGGGUACCGUGGUUUCACAAGAUGUCCCCAAGUAUAUGAUGGUGAUGGGAGAAAGAGCAGAACUUCGCGGUUUAAAUCUAGAGGGACUCCGGCGGAACGGAUUCACAGUGGAAGAGAUAAAUGGCUUGAGAUCUGCUUACAGGAAAGUAUUCAUGCCUACUGAUGCAAAUUCUAAAGGGCUUGAAGAACGUCUAGAGGAAGUGGAACAGCAUGAAAAGCUGGCUCAUAUACCUCCAGUGUGUUCCAUGAUUCAGUCAAUACGUGCCUCGUUUGAACAAAAUCGUCGAGGAAUAUGCAAAUUUAGACCAUGGAGUCGCUCUUAAGUAAGAUUGUGCUCACCUCUCUAGGUGAUCCAUGCACUUGUUCGUCGAAUUAUCAAGCAUCAUUCGCCGAGAAAGUUUCAAUUUGCAAAAGUAAUCAAGAUUCUCUAGAGCACAGUUUCGACCCAAGAAAAACUUGCACUUGUUACAGGUUUUAAUUUUUUCUUCUGGUGUUGUAGUUGCUGCCAGUAUACUAUCGUCUCCACAGGAUAUUGUUAAUUAGCGGAGUACUCGAGAGCUGCGUGACAUCAAAAAAUAAGACUUUGACAAUUUUGACAAAUCUAGUCUUGUUCCAUUUGGGCCAAUUUUUCCACUCCAUUUCAAUCAGCCCUGAAGAAGAAGAAGAAGAAGAAGAAACAUCUAGGUCAGCUCCCUGAAAAAUGGAACUGAGAGGUAAGAAACUCUUCAGCUUGACCAAGGUUUUAGGAAAUCCAAAAAACAACUUUCAAAGUUAACAACCUCUGACUUUGACAGAUGCCUUAAAAAAAAAGAGGAAAAAGGAAUAAUGAGGAUUGGUUUGGUGACAUUAUAGGUUCUUGCUU
Momordica charantia (bitter melon) is the source of this 1608-nucleotide non-coding RNA. NCBI's taxonomy places the organism in Eukaryota, Viridiplantae, Streptophyta, Magnoliopsida, Cucurbitales, Cucurbitaceae. The record is from RefSeq and is a predicted model, not a curated record.